This 495-nucleotide ribosomal RNA is filed under the name uncultured bacterium. RNAcentral's name for it is "partial 16S ribosomal RNA". It matches the Rfam family "Bacterial small subunit ribosomal RNA", at positions 28 to 507 of the family's 1533-position model. The record is from RNAcentral.
GAUGAACGCUGGCGGCGUGCCUAAUACAUGCAAGUCGAGCGAACAGACGAGGAGCUUGCUCCUCUGACGUUAGCGGCGGACGGGUGAGUAACACGUGGAUAACCUACCUAUAAGACUGGGAUAACUUCGGGAAACCGGAGCUAAUACCGGCUAAUAUAUUGAACCGCAUGGUUCAAUAGUGAAAGACGGUUUUGCUGUCACUUAUAGAUGGAUCCGCGCCGCAUUAGCUAGUUGGUAAGGUAACGGCUUACAAAGGCAACGAUGCGUAGCCGACCUGAGAGGGUGCAGCGCCACACGGGCAGUGAGACGCGGUACAGUCUGAUGCGAGGGAGCAGUGUAGAAUAUUGUCCGAUGGGGGCAAACGCGAGACAGCGCAACCGCGCGUGUGAUGAAGGGCUUCUGGUUGUGAAAAACUCUGUUAUGGGAGGAAAACAAGUGUGUAAAUAACUAUGCGUGUUGAGAGUACACAAAAACAGAACGCCGGGUAGAACCGUG